AUUGAACGCUGGCGGCAGGCCUAACACAUGCAAGUCGAGCGAGCGGCGGACGGGUGAGUAAUGUCUGGGGAACUGCCCGAUGGAGGGGGAUAACUACUGGAAACGGUGGCUAAUACCGCAUACCAUCAGAUGUGCCCAGAUGGGAUUAGCUAGUAGGUGGGGUAAUGGCUCACCUAGGCGACGAUCCCUAGCUGGUCUGAGAGGAUGAUCAGCCACACUGGGACUGAGACACGGCCCAGACUCCUACGGGAGGCAGCAGUGGGGAAUAUUGCACAAUGGGCGCAAGCCGGAUGCAGCCAUGCCGCGUGUAUGAAGAAGGCCUUAGGGUUGUAAAGUACUUUCAGCGGGGAGGCGUUACCCACAGAAGAAGCACCGGCUAACUCCGUGCCAGCAGCCGCGGUAAUUC
Molecule: ribosomal RNA, 406 nt
Filed under: uncultured bacterium
Lineage: Bacteria
Description: partial 16S ribosomal RNA
Rfam family: Bacterial small subunit ribosomal RNA
Source: RNAcentral